RNAcentral lists this ribosomal RNA (253 nucleotides) under uncultured bacterium. Its description in RNAcentral is "partial 16S ribosomal RNA". It matches the Rfam family "Bacterial small subunit ribosomal RNA", at positions 524 to 776 of the family's 1533-position model. The record is from RNAcentral.
GACAGAGGGGGCAAGCGUUGCUCGGAAUUACUGGGCGUAAAGGGCGCGUAGGCGGGAUGGCAAGUCGGUCGUGAAAUCCCUCGGCUCAACCGAGGAACGUCGAUCGAUACUGCUGUUCUUGAGGAUUGCAGAGGAGACUGGAAUUCCCGGUGUAGCGGUGAAAUGCGUAGAUAUCGAGAGGAACACCUGCGGCGAAGGCGGGUUGCUGGGCCGACACUGACGCUGAUGCGCGAAAGCCAGGGGAGCGAACGGG